UUUCUUCGGAUUGAUUCUUAACUGACUGAGCGGCGGACGGGUGAGUAACGCGUGGGUGACCUGCCCCAUACCGGGGGAUAACAGCUGGAAACGGCUGCUAAUACCGCAUAAGCGCACAGAGCUGCAUGGCUCGGUGUGAGAAACUCCGGUGGUAUGGGAUGGGCCCGCGUCUGAUUAGGCAGUUGGCGGGGUAACGGCCCACCAAACCGACGAUCAGUAGCCGGCCUGAGAGGGCGACCGGCCACAUUGGGACUGAGACACGGCCCAAACUCCUACGGGAGGCAGCAGUGGGGAAUAUUGCACAAUGGGGGAAACCCUGAUGCAGCGACGCCGCGUGAGCGAAGAAGUAUUUCGGUAUGUAAAGCUCUAUCAGCAGGGAAGAUAAUGACGGUACCUGACUAAGAAGCUCCGGCUAAAUACGUGCCAGCAGCCGCGGUAAUACGUAUGGAGCAAGCGUUAUCCGGAUUUACUGGGUGUAAAGGGUGCGUAGGUGGCAGUGCAAGUCAGAUGUGAAAGGCCGGGGCUCAACCCCGGAGCUGCAUUUGAAACUGCGCGGCUAGAGUACAGGAGAGGCAGGCGGAAUUCCUAGUGUAGCGGUGAAAUGCGUAGAUAUUAGGAGGAACACCAGUGGCGAAGGCGGCCUGCUGGACUGUUAC
This 656-nucleotide ribosomal RNA is filed under the name uncultured Lachnospiraceae bacterium. RNAcentral describes it as "bacterial SSU rRNA". It matches the Rfam family "Bacterial small subunit ribosomal RNA", at positions 71 to 740 of the family's 1533-position model. The record is from RNAcentral. Lineage: Bacteria; Bacillati; Bacillota; Clostridia; Lachnospirales; Lachnospiraceae.